GAGUUUGAUCGUGGCUCAGGAUGAACGCUGGCGGCGUGCCUAACACAUGCAAGUCGAACGGAGUUUAUGAGGAAGAAGCUUCGGCGGAAUUCUUAUAAACUUAGUGGCGGACGGGUGAGCGACACGUGGAGAACCUGCCUCUUACCGGGGGACAGCAGUUGGAAACGACUGAUAAUACCGCAUAAGCGCACGAGACCGCAUGGUCCUGUGUGAAAAGAUUUAUCGGUAAAGAGAUGGCUCCGCGUCUGAUUAGCCAGUUGGCGGGGUAACGGCCCACCAAAGCGACGAUCAGUAGCCGGCCUGAGAGGGUGAACGGCCACAUUGGGACUGAGACACGGCCCAGACUCCUACGGGAGGGCAGCAGUGGGGGAUAUUGCACAAUGGAGGAAACUCUGAUGCAGCGACGCCGCGUGAGUGAAGAGUAUUUCGGUAUGUAAAGCUCUAUCAGCAGGGAAGAAAGACCUCGAAAGAGGGAUGACGGUACCUGAGUAAGAAGCCCCGG
Molecule: ribosomal RNA, 502 nt
Filed under: uncultured microorganism
Description: bacterial SSU rRNA
Rfam family: Bacterial small subunit ribosomal RNA
Source: RNAcentral